CCACCGCCCUGCCCGCCCCGCAGCCCUACCCGCCCCUGUGUGCGGCGAGCGAGCGUCCGGCAGCAAGGCGCGAGAGAGGAGACAGAGAGAGAGGCACACGCACAGGUCUGUAUGCGGCACAGCUCACAGCCCCAGGCAGGCUGUGGUCUCCGCGCGAUCCGAGAAAGCGAGGCUGGCGAAGCUCCGGCUGCCCCGUUCCCUCCCCCGCCCCGCGGCGCUCUGGCGGCCGCUCCUCUCCUCGCAACAUGCCCGCCCCGAGGCCACGGCUCGGUCCCACGCAUGCGCGCCGGGAGGGGAGCAGAGCUGAGUGGGCUGUGACUCCGCGGAACCCCGCCCUGGUCCCGCGGGCGGGAACAGCCGCCCUUCGCGCAGCCAAUCAGAACACAGAGAUGGCUUUGCUUGACGUGGAAGCCACCAAGUGAGCUUGAAGGUAGAUAGAGGGCGGGGAAGCGGGGGCCGGCGAUGUUGAGAGUGAUAGGAAAAGUGGCCAGUGGGAGGGCUGGAAGGAGGGAGGAGGAGCUUCCGGUCCCGCCCCCUCACGCGUGCCCGCCCGAGGGGGUGGCUUGAAGCCUUCGGAGGCUGGAAUGGCAGUGAUGUGGUCUGAGGGGCUACUUCGGUUUUGUGGGAGCUUUGUUACAUGAAACAACAAUGCUGACAGAAGAUGAAGCAAGGAACAGUAGCUUCAUAUUGAGUUCAGGAAGAGUGAGUUGUUUUGUUUUUUUCCUGUUCAUCCUUCUGGUAUGUCAAAAAGGCCUGCUUCACAAAUAUGUGGGACUAGACAGAGAGUAAAUUCUGUUGGCGUCCUGAUCUCUCUGUGCGAUGAGGCUACACACUGUCUCUGGAGGACAGCUACCCUUGGACAAUCACUAUCCUGGGACUUCUUAUCAGCAAAAAUCCUAUAAGUAAUGUGUUCAUCCUCGUCACAACACAUCUAUCCCAAGGGGACUGCAGCUGCUGCUACUGAAGACCUAGGGCUCAGGUGGUGCCAGCAGAAUAACAAAAGAAUUGGCUUGAUGCUGCACUGCCAAAAACCUCUGUGGAUAACAUGUGAAGCUGGGAAGAAGGCAGCUGGAGAAAAGAAGAACAGUCAUUUUGGGCCAAUGAGAAACAUUUCAUUCAGCUGCAUCCUACUUAGUUUUGUUGCAUAGACAAAGCUUUUGUUUAAGCUUUUCCUUUCACUUUAUGUCAACUUUAAAUCAAAUUAAUGCUAAGAGGAAUAAAAUUCUAACUGAAAAAGUGAAAAGAUAAGGAGCCUUUUGGAAUUAAUGAAAGAAAGUGUUUCCAGAACAAGGACUUUAUGUUGCCAACAUCUGAGUGAAAUACUUUGAGGCUUUUGAAGUCCUUCAGUACACACAAGCACCCACAUUUCUUAUUGGCCAAGUACCAAAUUCAGCGAUGUCUUAAGAAUAUCCCAUCCUUCUGUGUGUGUUUAUUCUUUGUUACAUACAAGUGUCAAAACAACUAGGGGAAUUAUCACAGGCUAGUGGCAAGACAGAGAGUAAACUUGGUCAUAGGACUGUAAUGUAAUUAACGGCUGUGGACAAAUAUCUGGGAACAUAAGUUAAAUUAUCAUGUAGGGGCUACCAGAGAAAAGCAGAAAGCUUAACAUCAUCAGUUAAAUUGAAUAGCUCAAAUCACUUCACUGACAAACCUGGGAGAGCUAGCAGACACAAAGGGGAGGUAAGGCAAGAAAUAACAUCCAAAAGCCAGACCAAAGGUUCAGUACAGUCUCUGACCUAAUAUAAUGUGGAUUCUUUAUCUAUUAGUUUAAAAUCCUCCUGUUUUUUUUCUGGUCUCAUUCAUUUUCUUUCAUUUCUGGCUCUGGUAAUACCUGUCAAAGGGAACAUAACUCAAGUGACCUAAUUUUGGUGGUUAUAAGGACCGUAAUAGAAAGUAUUACUUUUAUUUCACACCAGUAGGUCAAAUUAAUUCUAUCAGCCAGAACUCAUGUUGGUGACCAGGCCCUGUGAAGAACCUCCUCGUGCUCCUUGGCUCUGGAUGUGCAAUUACAAUUGAAGAAGAAUUGCUUGGAGCCCCGGAACUGCAGAGGGCAUGGACAUGCUUCCAGCAUGCAGGGGUUUCCUAUCAUGUGCUGCAGAUCGGCAUUUUUUGGACAGAGUUUCUUUCUUAUCCACGUGCUUUGCAUUUCUAGAGAUUUCCAGACUUACAGCAUUCUCCUCUCCAGAAUAAACUUUUUCCAUUAAAAAAACUCCCACAAUUGAUAGAGCUGUCAUUAGG
RNAcentral lists this long non-coding RNA (2238 nucleotides) under Meleagris gallopavo (turkey). RNAcentral describes it as "lncRNA (ENSMGAG00000021468.1)". Lineage: Eukaryota; Metazoa; Chordata; Aves; Galliformes; Phasianidae. The record is from RNAcentral.